UCAACCGCAGUCUGGGCCAGGAGGCUCU
This 28-nucleotide non-coding RNA is filed under the name Drosophila melanogaster (fruit fly). Lineage: Eukaryota; Metazoa; Arthropoda; Insecta; Diptera; Drosophilidae. The record is from RNAcentral.